Molecule: ribosomal RNA, 760 nt
Filed under: uncultured Enterobacteriaceae bacterium
Lineage: Bacteria; Pseudomonadati; Pseudomonadota; Gammaproteobacteria; Enterobacterales; Enterobacteriaceae
Description: bacterial SSU rRNA
Rfam family: Bacterial small subunit ribosomal RNA
Source: RNAcentral
AGUGAACGCUGGCGGCAGGCCUAACACAUGCAAGUCGAGCGGUAGCACAAGGGAGCUUGCUCCCUGGGUGACGAGCGGCGGACGGGUGAGUAAUGUCUGGGAAACUGCCUGAUGGAGGGGGAUAACUACUGGAAACGGUAGCUAAUACCGCAUAACGUCGCAAGACCAAAGAGGGGGACCUUCGGGCCUCUUGCCAUCAGAUGUGCCCAGAUGGGAUUAGCUAGUAGGUGGGGUAAUGGCUCACCUAGGCGACGAUCCCUAGCUGGUCUGAGAGGAUGACCAGCCACACUGGAACUGAGACACGGUCCAGACUCCUACGGGAGGCAGCAAUGGGGAAUAUUGCACAAUGGGCGCAAGCCUGAUGCAGCCAUGCCGCGUGUGUGAAGAAGGCCUUCGGGUUGUAAAGCACUUUCAGCGAGGAGGAAGGUGGUGAACUUAAUACGUUCAUCAAUUGACGUUACUCGCAGAAGAAGCACCGGCUAACUCCGUGCCAGCAGCCGCGGUAAUACGAAGGGUGCAAGCGUUAAUCGGAAUUACUGGGCGUAAAGCGCGCGUAGGUGGUUCAGCAAGUUGGAUGUGAAAUCCCCGGGCUCAACCUGGGAACUGCAUCCUAAACUACUGAGCUAGAGUACGGUAGAGGGUGGUGGGAAUUUCCUGUGUAGCGGUGAAAAGGCGAGAAUUUGGGAGGGAACACCAGCGGAGAAGGCGACUACUUGGAUGUCUAGUUACUCUUAGGUCUAAACACGGGGGAGAAAAUCAG